RNAcentral lists this small RNA (125 nucleotides) under Marmota monax (woodchuck). Lineage: Eukaryota; Metazoa; Chordata; Mammalia; Rodentia; Sciuridae. The record is from RNAcentral.
GCCAAGUGUGGUGGCGCACACCUGUAAUCCCAGCUGCUCAGGAGGCUGAGGCAGAAGGAUCAUGAGUUCAAAGCCAGCUUCAGUAAUUGCGAGGCACUAAGCAACUCAGUGAGACCCUGUCUCUA